Non-coding RNA from Triticum aestivum (bread wheat), 135 nucleotides. Lineage: Eukaryota; Viridiplantae; Streptophyta; Magnoliopsida; Poales; Poaceae. The record is from Rfam.
UAUAUACUCCCUCCGUCUCAAAAUUUUUGUCUUAGAUUCGUCUAAAUACAAAUGUAUCUAAUACCAAAACGUGACUUGAUACAUCCGUAUAUAGACAAAUCUAAUAAAAGAAUUUUCAGACGGAGGGAAUAGUUA